This 423-nucleotide ribosomal RNA is filed under the name Triticum aestivum (bread wheat). RNAcentral's name for it is "partial small subunit ribosomal RNA". The record is from RNAcentral. Lineage: Eukaryota; Viridiplantae; Streptophyta; Magnoliopsida; Poales; Poaceae.
AUGAGCAUCGAGCUCCCGCCAUCCACAAAUGAACAGGAACAACCAAAGGAGCGAAUAGGCGAAACCCUGCCACACGGAGACAACGGCCGACGAGCUCCGGCCACACCACCAACCACCACCGGACAACCAGAACGGCACCUCCACCACAAGCUCACCAAAGACGGCACCCCCAAGAAGGUGACGACGCCACCAGCGCCGCUGCCGCCCAAUCCGGAAAGGAUCUGGGUUUUCACCCGGUACGAGCAGGGUGAAGAGGAGGGGAAAGGAACAACCUUGACGACGCCAACAGGAAGGGGAACGGCGUCCAAGGACGUCGCCGCCGUCGUGGCCGGACCAGCCGGCCUCGGAUUUCUCCGGUGUCCCUCCCCACCUCCAACCUCCAAGCACGAACAGCACCGGCAGCCGAAGACCACCAUAGGCUAG